Molecule: long non-coding RNA, 727 nt
Organism: Epinephelus moara (kelp grouper)
Lineage: Eukaryota; Metazoa; Chordata; Actinopteri; Perciformes; Serranidae
Exons: 3
Source: RefSeq, a predicted model, not a curated record
CGAACCAUUUAAAAUAUCUAGUUCCCCGAUGGACAUAAUUGAGUGACGGACCGAGUCCGACCGUAAAUCUCCGUUUUCACUUUGUGCAGCGCAUUCUCGCAUUUUGACAACAUGGCAAGUGAGCCUGACGAACCUGAAGACCCACCCGCAAACCUUAAGUCCUCUGUUUGGGAACACUUUGGUUUCAGGGUAAAAUACGAAGAUGGAAAUAAACAAGUGGACAAGACAAAAGCAGUGUGCCGACACUGCAGAACAGCGGUCGGCAAGGAUCUGCUCCAGCCCUUCCCCUUCUUGAAUCGGUGUAAUGUGGAUUGAUCACUGGCAAGGCUACUGCCGAUGCCAUUUCAACUUUGUGCUGCAAUAUACACCAUCAAUCAGGCAGAGUCAGGCCCCUUGGACCUGUUGCAGACAGCUCCGUGCAUCCAUCAGUCUAUCGAUCACACCUGAUGCAAGCGCUACCUUCAAGCCCAACAUGCCUCCAAGUUCCCAAAAAAGCUUUCUCUUUUUAGCCUAAUCCAUAUUGUGUGUGUGCUUGUCAGUGUGUGUGUGUGAGAGAGAAAGAGACAGAAAGAGAAGAGUGGAUAAAAGCGGACAUACAGAAUAAUCCCACUCCAAACAAUCGCCAGAUUCAUUCUUAGGUUGGCGUCAUUAUGAAAAAUAACUUGAUGUAUUCAUAUCAACACAGCUCGGAGACCAGACCAUUCACUAACAAUUGUACAACUCUAUG